Non-coding RNA from Acanthosepion pharaonis, 97 nucleotides. NCBI's taxonomy places the organism in Eukaryota, Metazoa, Mollusca, Cephalopoda, Sepiida, Sepiidae. The record is from the annotation of a GenBank genome assembly.
CGAAACACCGGUUCUCGUAUGAUCACCGGAGUUAAGCAACGUCAAGUCUGGUCAGUACCUAGAUAGGUGAUCCCUUAGAAAUACCAUGUGUUGUAAG